UGGUUGAUGGAAGGAAAUAAGAAAGGAAGAAAUUUUUUAAUGCCAUGGUUAAUUUCUUUUGGAUGUGUAAAUGAAAGCUUUAUUUGUUUGCUUUUGUGAAUAUUUCAUAACAUUGAACUAUUUCUGAAAAUGAAAUGUUGUUUAUGGCUAGUGCUUGGCAUAUUUGUGAUUUGUUUUUUUGGAAAAUGUGUUUUUCUCAUCUUUGGAAAAUUACGUCAAACACAGUUGUUCAUAAACUUAUCUUGUGCGGUUCCGAACAGUGUGAAAGACGCAUUUGCAACCAUAUUGGAUCCCAUAAGUUGCAUAAAGAACAAAUGAGCUUAGGACUCUUGACAUUUAUAUGCAUCUCAUUUCAGACAUGACCUAUUUUGUUUUGUUGCGUAAAGCAGAAAAACAAAAAUGUUGCACCCAUGCAUCGAUCUAUGCACCUCAAAGUA
Molecule: long non-coding RNA, 437 nt
Filed under: Brassica napus (rape)
Lineage: Eukaryota; Viridiplantae; Streptophyta; Magnoliopsida; Brassicales; Brassicaceae
Description: long non-coding RNA (BNAP_LNC018785)
Source: RNAcentral